AUUGAACGCUGGCGGCAGGCUUAACACAUGCAAGUCGAGCGGGGAAACGUAGCUUGCUCCCUGACCUAGCGGCGGACGGGUGAGUAAUGCUUGGGAAUCUGCCUAUUCGCUGGGGAGGACAUCACGAAAGGGAUGCUAAUACAGCAUACCUUAUACGGGGGAAACCCGGGGUCCUUCGGGCAUUGCGCCAAUAGCUGAGCCUAGGUCGGAUUAGCUAGUUGGUGGGGUAAAGGCCUACCAAGGCGACGAUCUGUAGCGGGUCUGAGAGGAUGAUCCGCCACACUGGGACUGAGACACGGCCCAGACUCCUACGGGAGGCAGCAGUAGGGAAUAUUGGACAAUGGGGGGAACCCUGAUCCAGCCAUGCUGCGUGUGUGAAGAAGGCCUUUUGGUUGUAAAGCACUUUAAGCGAGGAGGAGGCUACCGAGAUUAAUACUCUUGGAUAGUGGACGGUACUCGCAGAAUAAGCACCGGCUAACUCUGUG
Molecule: ribosomal RNA, 485 nt
Filed under: uncultured bacterium
Lineage: Bacteria
Description: partial 16S ribosomal RNA
Rfam family: Bacterial small subunit ribosomal RNA
Source: RNAcentral